GUCUAUGGCCAUACCACCCUGAAUACGCCCCAUCUCAUCUGAUCUCAGAAGCUAAGCAGGGUUGGGCCUGGUUAGUACUUGGAUGGGAGAAUGAGUAGGAGUGAACCAGGGGACAGGAGGGA
Molecule: ribosomal RNA, 122 nt
Filed under: Prolemur simus (greater bamboo lemur)
Lineage: Eukaryota; Metazoa; Chordata; Mammalia; Primates; Lemuridae
Source: RNAcentral